AAUCAACGCUGGCGGCGUGCCUCAGACAUGCAAGUCGAACGCGAAAGGCCCCUUCGGGGGCCCGGUAGAGUGGCGCACGGGUGAGUAACACGUAGGUAAUUUGCCUUCGGGUGGGGAAUAACAGCCGGAAACGGCUGCUAAUACCGCAUAAUGCAGCGGCUCGACAUCGAGACAGUUGUUAAAGCGGGGGAUCGCAAGACCUCGCGCCUGAAGAGAAGCCUGCGGCAGAUAGCUUGUUGGUGAGGUAAUGGCUCACCAAGGCGACGAUCUGUAACCGGCCUGAGAGGGCGGUCGGUCACACUGACACUGACAUACGGGUCAGACUCCUACGGGAGGCAGCAGUCGGGAAUUUUGGGCAAUGGGCGAAAGCCUGACCCAGCAACGCCGCGUGAAGGAUGAAAUCUCUCGGGAUGUAAACUUCGCAAGAACGGAAGAAUAA
Molecule: ribosomal RNA, 439 nt
Filed under: uncultured bacterium
Lineage: Bacteria
Description: bacterial SSU rRNA
Rfam family: Bacterial small subunit ribosomal RNA
Source: RNAcentral